AUUGAACGCUGGCGGCAGGCCUAACACAUGCAAGUCGGACGGUAGCACAGAGAGCUUGCUCUUGGGUGACGAGUGGCGGACGGGUGAGUAAUGUCUGGGGAUCUGCCCGAUAGAGGGGGAUAACCACUGGAAACGGUGGCUAAUACCGCAUAACGUCGCAAGACCAAAGAGGGGGACCUUCGGGCCUCUCACUAUCGGAUGAACCCAGAUGGGAUUAGCUAGUAGGCGGGGUAAUGGCCCACCUAGGCGACGAUCCCUAGCUGGUCUGAGAGGAUGACCAGCCACACUGGAACUGAGACACGGUCCAGACUCCUACGGGAGGCAGCAGAGGGGAAUAUUGCACAAUGGGCGCAAGCCUGAUGCAGCCAAGCCGCGUGUAUGAAGAAGGCCUUCGGGUUGUAAAGUACUUUCAGCGGGGAGGAAGGCGGUGAGGUUAAUAACCGCGUCGAUUGACGUUACCCGCAGAAGAAGCACCGGCUAACUCCGUGCCAGCCGCCGCGGUAA
This 504-nucleotide ribosomal RNA is filed under the name uncultured bacterium. Its description in RNAcentral is "partial 16S ribosomal RNA". It matches the Rfam family "Bacterial small subunit ribosomal RNA", at positions 29 to 523 of the family's 1533-position model. The record is from RNAcentral.